This 1975-nucleotide ribosomal RNA is filed under the name Pseudomonas aeruginosa. RNAcentral's name for it is "bacterial LSU rRNA". It matches the Rfam family "Bacterial large subunit ribosomal RNA", at positions 925 to 2879 of the family's 2925-position model. Lineage: Bacteria; Pseudomonadati; Pseudomonadota; Gammaproteobacteria; Pseudomonadales; Pseudomonadaceae. The record is from RNAcentral.
GGUCAUCCCGACUUACCAAACCGAUGCAAACUCCGAAUACCCAGAAGUGCCGAGCAUGGGAGACACACGGCGGGUGCUAACGUCCGUCGUGAAAAGGGAAACAACCCAGACCGCCAGCUAAGGUCCCAAAGUUGUGGUUAAGUGGUAAACGAUGUGGGAAGGCUUAGACAGCUAGGAGGUUGGCUUAGAAGCAGCCACCCUUUAAAGAAAGCGUAAUAGCUCACUAGUCGAGUCGGCCUGCGCGGAAGAUGUAACGGGGCUCAAACCACACACCGAAGCUGCGGGUGUCACGCAAGUGACGCGGUAGAGGAGCGUUCUGUAAGCCUGUGAAGGUGAGUUGAGAAGCUUGCUGGAGGUAUCAGAAGUGCGAAUGCUGACAUGAGUAACGACAAUGGGUGUGAAAAACACCCACGCCGAAAGACCAAGGGUUCCUGCGCAACGUUAAUCGACGCAGGGUUAGUCGGUUCCUAAGGCGAGGCUGAAAAGCGUAGUCGAUGGGAAACAGGUUAAUAUUCCUGUACUUCUGGUUACUGCGAUGGAGGGACGGAGAAGGCUAGGCCAGCUUGGCGUUGGUUGUCCAAGUUUAAGGUGGUAGGCUGAAAUCUUAGGUAAAUCCGGGGUUUCAAGGCCGAGAGCUGAUGACGAGUCGUCUUUUAGAUGACGAAGUGGUUGAUGCCAUGCUUCCAAGAAAAGCUUCUAAGCUUCAGGUAACCAGGAACCGUACCCCAAACCGACACAGGUGGUCGGGUAGAGAAUACCAAGGCGCUUGAGAGAACUCGGGUGAAGGAACUAGGCAAAAUGGCACCGUAACUUCGGGAGAAGGUGCGCCGGCUAGGGUGAAGGAUUUACUCCGUAAGCCCUGGCUGGUCGAAGAUACCAGGCCGCUGCGACUGUUUAUUAAAAACACAGCACUCUGCAAACACGAAAGUGGACGUAUAGGGUGUGACGCCUGCCCGGUGCCGGAAGGUUAAUUGAUGGGGUUAGCGCAAGCGAAGCUCUUGAUCGAAGCCCCGGUAAACGGCGGCCGUAACUAUAACGGUCCUAAGGUAGCGAAAUUCCUUGUCGGGUAAGUUCCGACCUGCACGAAUGGCGUAACGAUGGCGGCGCUGUCUCCACCCGAGACUCAGUGAAAUUGAAAUCGCUGUGAAGAUGCAGUGUAUCCGCGGCUAGACGGAGAGACCCCGUGAACCUUUACUGUAGCUUUGCACUGGACUUUGAGCCUGCUUGUGUAGGAUAGGUGGGAGGCUUUGAAGCGUGGACGCCAGUUCGCGUGGAGCCAUCCUUGAAAUACCACCCUGGCAUGCUUGAGGUUCUAACUCUGGUCCGUGAUCCGGAUCGAGGACAGUGUAUGGUGGGCAGUUUGACUGGGGCGGUCUCCUCCUAAAGAGUAACGGAGGAGUACGAAGGUGCGCUCAGACCGGUCGGAAAUCGGUCGUAGAGUAUAAAGGCAAAAGCGCGCUUGACUGCGAGACAGACACGUCGAGCAGGUACGAAAGUAGGUCUUAGUGAUCCGGUGGUUCUGUAUGGAAGGGCCAUCGCUCAACGGAUAAAAGGUACUCCGGGGAUAACAGGCUGAUACCGCCCAAGAGUUCAUAUCGACGGCGGUGUUUGGCACCUCGAUGUCGGCUCAUCACAUCCUGGGGCUGAAGCCGGUCCCAAGGGUAUGGCUGUUCGCCAUUUAAAGUGGUACGCGAGCUGGGUUUAGAACGUCGUGAGACAGUUCGGUCCCUAUCUGCCGUGGACGUUUGAGAUUUGAGAGGGGCUGCUCCUAGUACGAGAGGACCGGAGUGGACGAACCUCUGGUGUUCCGGUUGUCACGCCAGUGGCAUUGCCGGGUAGCUAUGUUCGGAAAAGAUAACCGCUGAAAGCAUCUAAGCGGGAAACUUGCCUCAAGAUGAGAUCUCACUGGGAACUUGAUUCCCCUGAAGGGCCGUCGAAGACUACGACGUUGAUAGGCUGGGUGUGUAAGCGUUGU